RNAcentral lists this ribosomal RNA (501 nucleotides) under Chloropicon laureae. Its description in RNAcentral is "partial Bacterial large subunit ribosomal RNA". It matches the Rfam family "Bacterial large subunit ribosomal RNA", at positions 19 to 513 of the family's 2925-position model. The record is from RNAcentral. Lineage: Eukaryota; Viridiplantae; Chlorophyta; Chloropicophyceae; Chloropicales; Chloropicaceae.
GCACGGUGAAUGCCUUGGCACUAGGAGCCGAUGAAGGACGGGACUAACACCGAUAUGCUCCGGGGAGCUGUAAGUAAGCUUUGAUCCGGAGAUUUCCGAAUGGGGAAACCCUCUAUCUUUAAUAGGAUAGAAUCUUUACCUGAAUACAUAGGGUAUUGAAGGCAGACCCGGGGAACUGAAACAUCUAAGUACCCGGAGGAAGAGAAAGCAAUUGCGAUUCCCUGAGUAGCGGCGAGCGAAACGGGAACAGCCCAAACCAAGAGGCUUGCCUCUUGGGGUUGUAGGACACUCUACAUGGAGUUACAAAGGAACGGGGUAGAUGAACAGGUCUGGAAAGACCGGUCAAAGAAGGUAAUAACCCUGUAGUCGAAACUUCGUUCCCUCCUGAGUGGAUCCUGAGUACGGCGGGACACGUGAAAUCCCGUCGGAAUCCGGGAGGACCAUCUCCCAAGGCUAAAUACUCCCUAGUGACCGAUAGUGAACCAGUACCGUGAGGGAAAG